AAAGUGACUAAUCUCGUUGGUUGAGGCAAUAUUGGUCAAAUUAACUGUGACAUUGGUAACUAUUAAACAAACAAAUUGGUUAUCUAACAACUAAUAUCAUUGGUUAAGAACAAAUUGGUUGAUUUAACAAAGAUAUUGGUUAACUUUAAUAACAGAUUGGUUGAAAAAUGACUAAUAUCAUUGGUUAAGCAAAUGUUAACUAAGAGAUUGGUAACUGACGCAGGUCUGACGCUCAACGUCAAGUACGUAACUCUGCUUCUCAAUUUUCUGACAAAGCCGCCAUCUUGGUGCUGCAGGAAAGCCGUUUGAGAUAUUGGUGGAAUUCAAACACUUUGUGAGAUGACAGAAUAUUGCUGAAGGAUCCUACAUGGAAGCUGGCUGAUUACACGGAGUGAUUCCUCUGGUGUGGUGUACCUCAGAGAAAUAAACACUGUUGCAAGAGCUGAGAAGAUGGCCAAGAUAUCCUUAUUGCUGGAUGGUAGCUCUGGUCGUAGUGGACCAUAUCUGCAAAUGCUUCUGAACAUUGACAGAAUUUCUAAAGGAUCGCUGAGGACUCCCCCUCCAUGCGUGACAUCUUUGAGAAAUUUCCACGCUUUCUGGAGAUGCCAAGUUUGACUGGAACCAACUUUGCAUCCCUCGGCACUGACACUGAGAAGGUUUCAAGGACCCCACUACUAGGAGGCGAGAGUUUGACACGGCAUUGUCAUCACUGCCAUGGAUGACAACGUAACCAUUCCUGUUGCUGAUUGCCUGACUUGCGCAGUGACAAGCUUUUCAUGCUCUACUGUGUGUGUAACUUGGCAUAUCCACCACAGUUUAACUCUGUUUUUGCCUCUUUUGAAUAUGUGUACGAUAUAACCAUCUCAACCAACACGUGGGCCAAGGUACUGGAACAUUUCUCACUUCAAGUUGCUCUGUAGUCACUGGACAUUUUUUUAAACAUCUACGCAGUCACCACCACUCCACACCAUGUGCAUUUUAAUUACUUCUGAUUCCACUGACAUGCAGACUACAUCCUAUGCAAUUUCAGGUAAUUUACCUGGUACUGGAGAAACAGCAUUGUAUGCCAUUCUAAGUGAUACUUGCCUUGUUGUUUUGCAAAAAUAU
Molecule: long non-coding RNA, 1107 nt
Organism: Engraulis encrasicolus (European anchovy)
Lineage: Eukaryota; Metazoa; Chordata; Actinopteri; Clupeiformes; Engraulidae
Exons: 5
Source: RefSeq, a predicted model, not a curated record